UAAGUAUAAAGACCAAGUAGGAUGAAACUGCGGACGGCUCAUUAUAACAGUAAUAGUUUCUUUGGUUAGUAAAAUACAAGGAUAGCUUUGUGAAUGAUAAAGAUAAUACUUGAGACGAUCCAGUUUGUAUUAGUACAAAAUGGCCAAUUCAUUCAAUGAAUUGAGAAAUGACAUUCUAAGUGAGUUAGGAUGCCACGACAAUUGUAGAACACACAGUGUUUAACAAGUAACCAAUGAGAAUUUCUGAUCUAUCAAUCAGUUGGUAGUAUCGAGGACUACCAAGAUUAUAACGGAUAACGAGGAAUUGGGGUUCGACAUCGGAGAGGGAGCUUUACAGAUGGCUACCACUUCUAAGGAAGGCAGCAGGCGCGUAAAUUACCCACUUUCGAAUUGAAGAGGUAGUGACGACACAUAACUCUAGAGUUGAGUAAAAUCAAUUCUUGAAGGAAUGAGUAGGAGGUAAAUUCUCCUACGAAAUCAAU
This 482-nucleotide ribosomal RNA is filed under the name Entamoeba histolytica. Its description in RNAcentral is "SSU rRNA". It matches the Rfam family "Eukaryotic small subunit ribosomal RNA", at positions 60 to 548 of the family's 1831-position model. The record is from RNAcentral. Lineage: Eukaryota; Evosea; Mastigamoebida; Endamoebidae.